UUACGACCAUAACACGUUGAAACACCGGUACCGUACGAUUACCAAAGUUAAGCAACGUCGAGCGUCGUCACUACUUAGAUGGGUGACCGCUUAGGAGUAUCAGGUGCUGUAG
Molecule: non-coding RNA, 112 nt
Organism: Acanthosepion pharaonis
Lineage: Eukaryota; Metazoa; Mollusca; Cephalopoda; Sepiida; Sepiidae
Source: the annotation of a GenBank genome assembly